UGGGGAAUAUUGGACAAUGGAGGCAACUCUGAUCCAGCAAUUCUGUGUGUGUGAAGAAGGUUUUAGGACUGUAAAACACUUUUAGUAGGGAAGAAAGAAAUGACGGUACCUACAGAAGAAGCGACGGCUAAAUACGUGCCAGCAGCCGCGGUAAUACGUAUGUCGCGAGCGUUAUCCGGAAUUAUUGGGCUUAAAGGGCAUCUAGGCGGUUAAACAAGUUGAAGGUGAAAACCUGUGGCUCAACCAUAGGCUUGCCUACAAAACUGUAUAACUAGAGUACUGGAAAGGUGGGUGGAACUACACGAGUAGAGGUGAAAUUCGUAGAUAUGUGUAGGAAUGCCGAUGAUGAAGAUAACUCACUAGACGGCGACUGACGCUGAAGUGCGAAAGCUAGGGGAGCAAACAGG
This 407-nucleotide ribosomal RNA is filed under the name Verrucomicrobiota bacterium. RNAcentral describes it as "Verrucomicrobia bacterium partial 16S ribosomal RNA". It matches the Rfam family "Bacterial small subunit ribosomal RNA", at positions 355 to 776 of the family's 1533-position model. The record is from RNAcentral. Lineage: Bacteria; Pseudomonadati; Verrucomicrobiota.